GGCAAGAUGGCCGAGCGGUCUAAGGCGACCGAGUCAAGAUCUUAAUAUCUUGCCUCCUAACGAGGUGUUACUUCGGUUCUCGAAAGAGGCGUGGGUUCAAAUCCCACUCUUGUCA
This 115-nucleotide transfer RNA is filed under the name Aspergillus coremiiformis. It matches the Rfam family "tRNA". From Rfam's summary of the family: Transfer RNA (tRNA) molecules are approximately 80 nucleotides in length. Their secondary structure includes four short double-helical elements and three loops (D, anti-codon, and T loops). Further hydrogen bonds mediate the characteristic L-shaped molecular structure. tRNAs have two regions of fundamental functional importance: the anti-codon, which is responsible for specific mRNA codon recognition, and the 3' end, to which the tRNAs corresponding amino acid is attached (by aminoacyl-tRNA synthetases). tRNAs cope with the degeneracy of the genetic code in two manners: having more than one tRNA (with a specific anti-codon) for a particular amino acid; and 'wobble' base-pairing, i.e. permitting non-standard base-pairing at the 3rd anti-codon position. The record is from Rfam by way of RNAcentral. Lineage: Eukaryota; Fungi; Ascomycota; Eurotiomycetes; Eurotiales; Aspergillaceae.